AUUGAACGCUGGCGGCAGGCCUAACACAUGCAAGUCGAGCGGAUGAAGGGAGCUUGCUCCUGGAUUCAGCGGCGGACGGGUGAGUAAUGCCUAGGAAUCUGCCUGGUAGUGGGGGAUAACGUCCGGAAACGGGCGCUAAUACCGCAUACGUCCUGAGGGAGAAAGUGGGGGAUCUUCGGACCUCACGCUAUCAGAUGAGCCUAGGUCGGAUUAGCUAGUUGGUGGGGUAAAGGCCUACCAGGCGACGAUCCGUAACUGGUCUGAGAGGAUGAUCAGUCACACUGGAACUGAGACACGGUCCAGACUCCUACGGGGGGCAGCAGUGGGGAAUAUUGGACAAUGGGCGAAAGCCUGAUCCAGCCAUGCCGCGUGUGCGAAGAAGGUCUUCGGAUUGUAAAGCACUUUAAGUUGGGAGGAAGGGCAGUAAGUUAAUACCUUGCUGUUUUGACGUUACCAACAGAAUAAGCACCGGCUAACUUCGUG
Molecule: ribosomal RNA, 483 nt
Filed under: uncultured bacterium
Lineage: Bacteria
Description: partial 16S ribosomal RNA
Rfam family: Bacterial small subunit ribosomal RNA
Source: RNAcentral